ACUCCUACGGGAGGCAGCAGUGGGGAAUAUUGCACAAUGGGCGCAAGCCUGAUGCAGCCAUGCCGCGUGUGUGAAGAAGGCCUUCGGUUGUAAAGCACUUUCAGCAGUGAGGAAGGCGGAGUCGUUAAUAGCGGCCUCGUUUGACGUUAGCUGCAGAAGAAGCACCGGCUAACUCCGUGCCAGCAGCCGCGGUAAUACGGAGGGGUGCGAGCGUUAAUCGGAAUUACUGGGCGUAAAGCGCAUGCAGGUGGUUUGUUAAGUCAGAUGUGAAAGCCCGGGGCUCAACCUCGGAAUAGCAUUUGAAACUGGCAGACUAGAGUACUGUAGAGGGGGUAGAAUUUCAGGUGUAGCGGUGAAAUGCGUAGAGAUCUGAAGGAAUACCGGUGGCGAAGGCGGCCCCCUGGACAGAUACUGACACUCAGAUGCGAAAGCGUGGGGAGCAAACAGGAUUAGAUACCCUGGUAGGAUAGCG
This 472-nucleotide ribosomal RNA is filed under the name uncultured bacterium. RNAcentral describes it as "bacterial SSU rRNA". It matches the Rfam family "Bacterial small subunit ribosomal RNA", at positions 335 to 799 of the family's 1533-position model. The record is from RNAcentral.